RNAcentral lists this ribosomal RNA (1521 nucleotides) under Klebsiella pneumoniae. Its description in RNAcentral is "bacterial SSU rRNA". It matches the Rfam family "Bacterial small subunit ribosomal RNA". Lineage: Bacteria; Pseudomonadati; Pseudomonadota; Gammaproteobacteria; Enterobacterales; Enterobacteriaceae. The record is from RNAcentral.
UUGAAGAGUUUGAUCAUGGCUCAGAUUGAACGCUGGCGGCAGGCCUAACACAUGCAAGUCGAGCGGUAGCACAGAGAGCUUGCUCUCGGGUGACGAGCGGCGGACGGGUGAGUAAUGUCUGGGAAACUGCCUGAUGGAGGGGGAUAACUACUGGAAACGGUAGCUAAUACCGCAUAACGUCGCAAGACCAAAGUGGGGGACCUUCGGGCCUCAUGCCAUCAGAUGUGCCCAGAUGGGAUUAGCUAGUAGGUGGGGUAACGGCUCACCUAGGCGACGAUCCCUAGCUGGUCUGAGAGGAUGACCAGCCACACUGGAACUGAGACACGGUCCAGACUCCUACGGGAGGCAGCAGUGGGGAAUAUUGCACAAUGGGCGCAAGCCUGAUGCAGCCAUGCCGCGUGUGUGAAGAAGGCCUUCGGGUUGUAAAGCACUUUCAGCGGGGAGGAAGGCGAUAAGGUUAAUAACCUUGUCGAUUGACGUUACCCGCAGAAGAAGCACCGGCUAACUCCGUGCCAGCAGCCGCGGUAAUACGGAGGGUGCAAGCGUUAAUCGGAAUUACUGGGCGUAAAGCGCACGCAGGCGGUCUGUCAAGUCGGAUGUGAAAUCCCCGGGCUCAACCUGGGAACUGCAUUCGAAACUGGCAGGCUAGAGUCUUGUAGAGGGGGGUAGAAUUCCAGGUGUAGCGGUGAAAUGCGUAGAGAUCUGGAGGAAUACCGGUGGCGAAGGCGGCCCCGACAAAGACUGACGCUCAGGUGCGAAAGCGUGGGGAGCAAACAGGAUUAGAUACCCUGGUAGUCCACGCCGUAAACGAUGUCGAUUUGGAGGUUGUGCCCUUGAGGCGUGGCUUCCGGAGCUAACGCGUUAAAUCGACCGCCUGGGGAGUACGGCCGCAAGGUUAAAACUCAAAUGAAUUGACGGGGGCCCGCACAAGCGGUGGAGCAUGUGGUUUAAUUCGAUGCAACGCGAAGAACCUUACCUGGUCUUGACAUCCACAGAACUUUCCAGAGAUGGAUUGGUGCCUUCGGGAACUGUGAGACAGGUGCUGCAUGGCUGUCGUCAGCUCGUGUUGUGAAAUGUUGGGUUAAGUCCCGCAACGAGCGCAACCCUUAUCCUUUGUUGCCAGCGGUCCGGCCGGGAACUCAAAGGAGACUGCCAGUGAUAAACUGGAGGAAGGUGGGGAUGACGUCAAGUCAUCAUGGCCCUUACGACCAGGGCUACACACGUGCUACAAUGGCAUAUACAAAGAGAAGCGACCUCGCGAGAGCAAGCGGACCUCAUAAAGUAUGUCGUAGUCCGGAUUGGAGUCUGCAACUCGACUCCAUGAAGUCGGAAUCGCUAGUAAUCGUAGAUCAGAAUGCUACGGUGAAUACGUUCCCGGGCCUUGUACACACCGCCCGUCACACCAUGGGAGUGGGUUGCAAAAGAAGUAGUCGGGAGGGCGCUUACCACUUUGUGAUUCAUGACUGGGGUGAAGUCGUAACAAGGUAACCGUAGGGGAACCUGCGGUUGGAUCACCUCCUU